Musa acuminata AAA Group (dessert banana) is the source of this 7118-nucleotide RNA transcript. RefSeq lists it as uncharacterized. The transcript has 3 exons. The record is from RefSeq and is a predicted model, not a curated record. Lineage: Eukaryota; Viridiplantae; Streptophyta; Magnoliopsida; Zingiberales; Musaceae.
AGGUGGCGUUCUUCUUCCGACCCCAACGACCUCUCACUCCACCCCAGUUGCCAACCGUCCGUCUGGUAGAACUCAGAUCGCCCCCAUCGUCACCCCCUUUUGGAAGUCGCAGUCACCGCCGGCGACGAGGAUGAGGACGUGCCCCUCUCAAACCCCGAUCGAUCACGAUUUGUGGCAAAGUCGGGUUCGUGAUGCGGCAAUCCAAGACCCUCAAGAUCGGCGCUAACCAUCUUGGAGGAUUUGGGAGACGAUAAGUCAUGCCUGAUGCAUUUUGCCGAUCGCGAAGUAGGAGAUGAUCUGCAUCCGCUUCGGCCGUGUGGAAAGUAAGCAUUUCGCUACGAAUUUACAUCUAUUGGCCGUAGGUUAAUAUUUGGUUUAUGGUUUUGGUUUUCAUUGGGAAGUUUUCUUUUCUUGCUUAUAUGUGUGGUUGCCGAAGUUCUUCAGCCGUAGGAAAAUCCCUAACUUGGUGUUCAAACUACCAAAAUCUUCUACCAACUUCGUUGCUGUUGCAGAUCAUAAUUGUGAAAAUACUACUACCAUAAAAUAUGUAAGCAGUCAUAUAAACUGAACCUCAAUCGAGUUUGCAGAGUUCAUGUGAACUUUUGGGGAGAGCUUGCCAAGUUGGAUCUCAAAUUAUAUUUUUUUCAUGAUUGGAAAAUUGGAGCUUGGAUUAGGCAAGUGGAGGAUUUAUCUAAGAGUUGUUCCUUGAUCCUUAAACGUCCUUACUGUCUACUGCAUGUAGUUGGUCUGGAAGGGCCUGAACGAGACAGUUUUCAAGGGGGGUGAAGGUCUCUUCUUCCUCCAUCAUAUAUAGAGCAAUUGCCUAUUGUCUCUUGCUAUUAAGUGUUUAAUCGGACUGAAGGCUGGUGGGGGAUAAGUCACAUAUUGGUUAGCUAGAAAAAAUAAACAUAAUUUAUAUGCCUAAAAAUGAAUUGAAAGUUAGCACUUUGAGCCAUCAAGGCUGGAAGUGAAAUCUGAUUCUUAACUGUCGAUCAACAUUUUGAACAAGGAGAAGCCUUCUCUUUGGUUCUUGCUUACUUCUGUUUGGAAAACUAUUACCCUAAAUAACAAUAUUUUUUAAUGUAAAAUUUCCCACGCAAUUCCUGAGGGAAUAGCAUACGAUGAAGGUUGCCAAGUAAGGUAAAAUACUCGUCUAUUGUAGCACAAUUGCUGUGGAUGUCUAUUGUUGUUCUCUGGGAGUAACCUACAUUUCUAAUAUAAUUGAAUUCUUAUGCGUAGAUUAGCAAUGACAUGUGGCUGUAGUUAAGUGGUUAGAAUUCCACGUUGUGGCCGUGGAGACCUGGGCUCGAAUCCCAGCAGCCACAAAGAUUUAUCGUUUUCUUUUAAUUAUGAUUUUUGAUAUGCUUUAUAGCUUAAAUCGUGAACUGGUUUUGCUUCAAUUAGCAUCCCAGCAGCCACAUUUGGUUGUCGUUUUCUUUCAAUUAUGCUUUUUGAUACGAUUUCUAACUUAAUUCGUGAAUUUUUUUUGCUUCAAUUAGCGUUUUGAUCUGCUUUAUAGCUUACAGGGGUGAACUAUAGGAAUAACUUACGUUGUUGUCACCUCAACCUUCUCACUGUCAGAUAUGCUGAUACAGCAUAAACCUGUGAAUCGUAGGAAUAAAGGCUGUCACACAACCAUAUCUAUGAACCAAAGCAUGGCCGCGCAUCAGGCAUCCAGUGAAGAAUAUUCGUCCCAAAUAUCUGUCAAUUGCAUCGAUCUCACCGCACGCAACUCAUAAAUUCCUUUCGGAUACAACCCACACUGACAACAAAACCCAUAUCAUUUCAGUUCUAUUUACGUAAGGAGACAUGAAAAGAUAAAAAGUAUCCAUCUCAUGUGAAUGCGUACAACACCAGAGUGUUCUGGACCCACAGAAAGAGCUACUCUCGACGGCAGCUAGCGAACAGCAAGCUUCCCCCUCCCCACCCUCCCCCACGGCUCUCUCUUGCAUGCCCACCAUCUUCCGCGUUCCAGAACAAGGCCAUGUCUCUUCACUUCGCCAUCUCUCUGCAGCUUCUGUCCUUCAUGCAUCCUGCUCCAUCUUCUCUCACCCUCAAACCGCAGCCCCCGCCGGCUCCGCGGCCACGGACGAGUCGGCGAGCGAAGCCCGGCACAGCGGGCAGCUCGUGUGAGCCUUUAACCACUCGUCCACGCACUCCACAUGGAACGUGUGGCCGCAGCUGGGCAGCACUUUGACCUUAUCCCCCUCCGUCAGGCUACUCAGGCAUAUCGAGCACUGCGCCUCCUCGCCGGCCUCCAAGUCCCGGUGCAGGUGCACCGGGAAGCUGUCGAUGAUCCGCGGAUCGAGGCCUGCUGUGCGAUGCGAUGUCGCGGCCGACGACAUGCUCACCGGGGCGGUUUCGGCCCCCCAUUGCGGACGGUGGCGGCACGCCCACCUCACGUAGAGGCAGAUGAGGGUGAAGAAGAGGAGAAUGGUAAAGGAGAUGAGAAGGAAGAGGAGACCCCGGCCACGGACGUGGAAGUUCUUGUCGUCGAGCGCGUCGUAGUGCCAACGGAAGGGCUGAGCGUCCUGUGCUGCCAUCCUCACCGGUGUUGGUGGUGGUGGUGGAUAUGGAUUCGAGUUUGGGCUUUUAUGAGGGUGGGGAUGGCUCGGCGAGUGGCUUCCGAAGGAUGAAGCGUCGAGUGGUGCAAGAGGGUUUCGGCCCAUGCCAUGCCAUCCCAUUCACCUCGCUUUCCAGCUUGCCCUUCGUCUCACAUUAAAGAAAAGGGUAGUUUUGGCUCAUCUCAUUCACUGUUGUUGGUGGAGAUGGCGGUGUUUCUACGCAAAGAACGAAGAGCUGGCCAGGGAUGGCAGAGCCGUUCUGCAUGAAGGUUUCUAAUCCCCAGUUUUGGUAUAGGCUGAUACGAAAUAAAACUUCCAAUUAAAGGGCUGUGGCGGUCAGCAAUUAAUUGAGAGGCAAGAAGUCAGGAUGCUUCUCGGUCCUUCCAGCUAAUUGCUGAGGGUGCGACAGGAGGGAUUUGGAAGCUUGCUUGUUGUGUAUCGAUUUGCUUCACGCACGCUAUCUUGCUUUAACCCCCCUGUUUGCCAGCACAAUGAGAAGUAGACAAGAUGUCGCUAAUGGUGUUGGGUUGCGCGACGUGAUGAUCACGCGCAUAAAUAAAUUAUUGAAAUAUACACACAUCGAAAGCGAAAUUACAUGGUACAUGAAUGACCAUAGUAAAGUUAUGAAUGUCUUGGAAAUGGCACAUAAAUUUAGUAUUCUACAGGUGAUUGUUUAGUUGAAGCCCAGUGGGCCAGCCCAAUUGCAAUGAUGGUGGGUGUAGGUGUGGGAGAUUUAAGCAUUUGCUGGUGUAAAGGGUUCACAAGACGAAGCACAGCAAGUUUUGGUACAUGUGCUUGGGAAAUUUGGAAAAGAAGGGGUCCUUUCCUGAUUAUGUUUCGCUUUUGUUUCACAAUUUAUUGCCAAGAUAAAUAGUUCGGGGGCUAUGUACGGUGACUGUGUGGGUGGCACGUGUCGACUCGCCAAUCCGGCUCCGUACAUCUUAUGUCCUGUAGGACACCGGUGCAGGGCACAGGAGCCUUUAACACUUGGCGGGCAGGAGAAGUGAAUCGUGUGAAAGGUUGCCCUUCUAUGAUGAGGUUAGAUCAAUAUCAAUGGGUCUUAUGCGUCCAACUCAACGUGUAUGAGUGGUAUGCCUCAAUUUGCCAGCGUAGUGGUGCGAUUGGGUCUAUCCCUUUAAAACGCUAAGCCCAACAUCAAACCCAAACUAAAGCUCUCUCUCUCUCUCUCUAUAUAUAUAUAUAUAUAUAUAUACACACUCACACUGAAAGACCUCUCAACAUGUGAGGCCUCUCUCACCCUCUACUGCAAGAAAAAGAGGCGAUCAAGAAGCGGCCAUGGCGGCGAUCCUCUCCGCCAUUUGAUUCGCUCGCUCUCUCUCUCUCCUGCCCGGAAAAGAUGCGAUCAAGAAGCGUCAUGGUGGCGAUCCUCUCCGCCAUUUGAUUCGGUAUCUCUCUCUCUCUCUCUCUCUCUCUCCUGCUGGAAAAAGAGGCGAUCCAGAAGCGACAUGGCGGGGAUCCUCUCCGCUAUUUGAUCCGCGCGCGCUCUCUCUCUCCUGCCGGAAAAAGAGGCGAUCCAGAAGCGCCAUGGCGGGGAUCCUCUCCGCUAUUUGAUCCGCGCGCGCGCUCUCUCUCUCUAAAAGAAAAAGAGGCGAUCAAGAACCGCCAUGGCGGCAAUCCUCUCCGCCAUUUGAUUCGUGGCAUUCAGCCGAUGAGGGAAUCGGCUCCCCCCUCGAAUCAUGGAAGAGAAGCACCCAUGAUCCCUACUCAGUAAUGCUUCCGCGCCCUCCAGCGUCUCACGAUGCAUCCGUGUCCGGUUAAUCCUUGGACAAACGAGCGAGUUCCAAGCUUUGAUGUUAUCUGUUUAGGGUUUCUGUCCCCAUCUUUCUCUUUUCCUUUAUACUUGUUGCUUCGUAUGGUUAGUUAUUGCUGAUGAAAUCUGAGGUCGAAUUCAGAUUUAUGGCGUAAUCAGUUCCGUGAUUAUCUCAAGGAAGUUGGAGAAGAACGGGAUCGGGUUGAGGCGAGCGAUGUCUCAUUUGGCGUAUUCUAUUUCAGCAGCUGAAGCUUGAUGGGGAUUUCAGGUAAGUCUAUUCUCUUCUAUAACUUAGUUUUUCUUCUGCCUGAUGCUGAUCGGUGUUUUGCCAUAGUUAGGAAUUCAAUUUUAUGCAUCUCGUCGUGCCUUUUCCUUGAUCCGUCGGCACAAUCUAUCUCUGAUACUUUCUUCCUUUUGCCCUUUCAAGAUAAUAGUCAAAUUUUAGCUUCUCUCAUUAUAUCUGCAAUUCUUGAAUUCUUGCUACAUAAUAUAGAGCCACAAAAUUCAUGAAUGUAGCCGACAUAGUAGCUACUUUUGCAAUUCCCUUAUUUUCAUCUAUUGUCCACAUGAUCAUACAAUGUGUAGUGUGAUAUUUGUGUUGGGUCGAGUAUUAGGAUAGGAGUUAAUAUUAGGUAAGUCCGCAUCAUGAGAAAGACAUGGAUCAAUUUGGAGUCAGGGCAGAAGUGGGCGAGAGGAUACGAGGGAAUUGUGCUUCAUAGACAUGAUCUAGUGGUAAGGGCAUAGAAGUAAUAAACCUCAUUAUUCUUUAUUAGUUACGGUACUGUGGAUUAUUGCAAAGCAAUUUAUAGUCAGUCUUCACAAGAUGUUCCGACUAGAAAGAAGAAUAAACUUGUUCUGAGCCUUUUAAAGAUGCAACGAGAUGAAUUAAAAAGAAACACACUGAUGAUUUGUCAUCAUUUUAUUACCAAUUUGGUUUACAAAAUUAAGAUAAAUUUGGCCAAAUAAUCUAUCUAUCAUUAGUUUGAUUUUUUUUUUUUUUGAAGUCCAAGAAUUGUUUGAUCAUUUGUUCCAUAGAUGAAUCUAUAGGCUGUUGCCCUAACAUUAAUAUGGUAAAAGUUUAGAGAGGGUGACGCAUAUAGAUAAGCAUCGCUCUAACAGAGUUCAUCAGGGAUUAACUUAGGAAACAAUAAGUGUAUAGCACCAAACAGAUCUCGCCUCUAAACAUAGGGGACUAAGUAAAACGCAGCAUAAUGUGAUGAUGGUGUAUCGGCCAACACAGAAUGCCGGUGUCCUCUCUUCCGGGACAAGGCAGUGGACUUGGAGAUGUAUUGUGGCAUCCACCAUCAUCACCAAAUAAAUUAAAGUGAAAACAGGGGAAAGAAAGAAACAGGUUCGUAUAAGAUGUGCCACUGUCACCAAAGCCCUGUGGCUGGCGCUAGAGGCACAUGUCUUAGGUGUUACUAUCAACAACCGACUUCAGUACAGUAGAUCAUGACACGCGUGCACACACAGUCUCUUGCACAUUGUGUUUGUGUGUAUGAGAGAGAGAGAGAGAUGGAUGACUGAUCUUCUGAAAAUCUUGGUGAAAUUUUCACAGAGGCCUAAUCGCCAAGCAUUCAAUUAGCGCCCCAAAUAUAUACUAGUAGUUGGAAAGUGGUGUCUAUUCAGAAGCCUUGCAUCAAAAUAGUAGAACCAGUCAAUGAAGACGACCUAGAAGUCAAAGGCACCAAAUUUGUGGCUUCUCCGGCAACUAUAUUUCCAAUUAAAUACGCUUUGCCAAAGUUUGCAGCAAAACUGUCUUCGACAAGAACCCCACAACGUUUGCAGCACAAUUAAAUGACUUUAAAAUAUAUAUAUAACAGACGCAUACAAGAAACAAUGGUUCAUGUAAGAUGCAGAAGAAAGAUACCACGGGGCAGCGCUACAAGUCAUGAUGUCAUAUUUUCUCCUCAAUUGCGUCAAUCAUCAUAAAGACACCACAGGGGAAUGCGGCGGAGGGGUUUGUCCCGUCGAUGAGAGCCUUGAGCUCGCCAGACUCGUGGAGGCGGCAGAUCUCGUCGGCGCCGCCAAGGCAGCUGCCAGCGAGGAAGACCUGCGGGAGGGUGGGCCGGUGGCGGCCAAGGGCGGCCUGGAGCUCGGCGAGGGAGCGCGAAUCCACGGAGAGGUCGCGUUCGUCGAUGACGACGCGGAGGCCGCGAAGGAUGGAGCGGACGGCGCGGCAAUCCUCGAAGGUGCGGCGGACGACGUGGAGGGAGGUGAAGUAGAGGACGACGGUGCCGCAUCGGUCGGUAUACGAGGCAGAGGAGCGGAGAGCACGAAGGGCGGAGGACGCAGGGCGGGCUCGGUGGAUGACGCGGCGGAAGACGUGGGAGGAGGGGUGUUCGUCGGCGUCGUCAUGGACGAUGGCUUGGAGGUCCCCGAGGUGGGAGGUGGUGGGAGAGCGGAGGGUGGCGCCAGCGGUGGCGGGGUAUCGACUAAUCUUCACCCACGGCGGCCACAUAAGUUCGAGAGAGAGAGAGAGAGAACUGACGCCUACAAGAGGAGGAAGAGAAGAUGCAAGAGAGGGACUUUUUUAUUCUUCAAGUAAUCGAUUUUCAAAAUAAAUGCAUAGAGCUCAUGUAUGGCAGAUUCGAAAAGUUCGAGGAGCGGGACAUCUUCCACUUGCUAUUAUCCUGAUUCUCCAAUUUUUUGAAUUUAUUAUUUUACCCCGCUCCGUGCUCAUGUUCAGGUAUAAAGCUCGAGGAGCGGCAUCUUCCGCUUGCUGAUGCUCCAAUUUUUGAAUUUGUUAUUUCAAUUGGUUACUUAUCAUGCUCCUUUUUUUU